UACGUAGGGUGCAAGCGUUAAUCGGAAUUACUGGGCGUAAAGCGUGCGCAGGCGGUUGUGCAAGACAGAUGUGAAAUCCCCGGGCUCAACCUGGGAAUUGCAUUUGUGACUGCACGGCUAGAGUGUGUCAGAGGGGGGUAGAAUUCCACGUGUAGCAGUGAAAUGCGUAGAGAUGUGGAGGAAUACCGAUGGCGAAGGCAGCCCCCUGGGAUAACACCGACGCUCAUGCACGAAAGCGUGGGGAGCAAACAGG
Molecule: ribosomal RNA, 253 nt
Filed under: uncultured bacterium
Lineage: Bacteria
Description: partial 16S ribosomal RNA
Rfam family: Bacterial small subunit ribosomal RNA
Source: RNAcentral